Non-coding RNA from Hypoxylon fuscum, 106 nucleotides. The record is from the annotation of a GenBank genome assembly. NCBI's taxonomy places the organism in Eukaryota, Fungi, Ascomycota, Sordariomycetes, Xylariales, Hypoxylaceae.
GGGCUUGUGGUUUAGUGGUAUAAUACUCGCUUAGCAUGUGAGAGACUCCGUUGUGAGAUCUUCACCAGCAUGUGAGUGGUCCGGGGUUCGAUUCCCCGCGAGUCCA